This is a non-coding RNA of Peromyscus maniculatus bairdii (prairie deer mouse), 3346 nucleotides long. The record is from RefSeq and is a predicted model, not a curated record. NCBI's taxonomy places the organism in Eukaryota, Metazoa, Chordata, Mammalia, Rodentia, Cricetidae.
UUGCUGUUGAUUUGUAGUUUUAUUCCAUUAUGAUCAUAUAAAAUACAAGGAAUUAUUUCAAUUUUCCUAUAUUUGUUAAAAUUUGUGUUGUUUCCUCGUAUAUGCUAUAUUUUUGAGAAAGUUUUAUGGGCUUCUAAGAACAAUGUAUAUUCUGCAGUGUGUGGAUGAAAUGUUCUGUAGAUGUCUGUUUAAUCCAUUUGAUCCAUGAUGUCAUUUCAUUCACAUAUUUCUCUUCAUUCUGUGUUGGCCGAGCCUGUAAAUUGGUGAGAGUUGGAUACUGAAGUCACCCACUACUGUGGUACUGAAGGUCAUCUGUGGCUUUACAUCUAGUAAUGUAUGUAUUAUGAAAGUAGUUUCACUCAUGUUUGGAACAUACACAUUUGGAAUCAUAAUGUCCUCUUGAUGGAUUGUUCCCUCACUUGGUAUGAGGCAGCCUUACUUUUUCUCACUACUUUGGUUUGCUGUCUAGUCCAUCAAUUAUUAGAACAGAGACAUGUGCUUGGAAUUCCAUCCUUUCACCCUAAGGUAGUGUUUGUCUGCUGUGGUGAGGUGUAUUUCCUAAAGGCAACAAACAGGUCUGUUCCUGACCUUCCAUCCAAUCUAUUAGUCUGUGACUUUUGAUUGGGAAAUCGAGACCAUUAACAUUCAGUUGUUGUUUAAAGACAUGUAUUGAUUCAUACUGUGUUGAUUUUGUAAUGUUUGUUGUUUUCCUCUUCUCAUACUUAUUAUUCUGUGUGGCUUAUCCUUUCUUCAGCUUCAUGGAUAGUUUUAUUGUUCUCUUCAGUCUAGAGGAUUCUUCUAAGUACCUCUGUAAAGCUUAGUGGUCAUGAAUUCCUUUAGCCUAUUUUUAACAUGGAAAGUUUUUUUCCUUCCUUAUGAGUGAUAGCUACUAUAUCUUCUAGUCCUGCUCCUACUAUAGCUUUAGUUUCAUUUGAGAAAUCUUGUGCUGUCCUGGUGAGCCUGUGUUUUUAUGUGACUUGGUCUUCAUUUCUUGCUGCUUUCAAUACGCUCUCUUUGUUCCACAUAGUUAGUGUUCUAAUUAUAAUGUGACAAGGAAACUCUUUUCUGGUCUUGUCUACUUGAUGUCCUAAAUGCCCACAGAUGCUGAGUCUCAUGCAAAUGUUACACUGGCCAAUUAACAACACUGGCCCUUUUCACUUAAAUAAACACACUAGGAUAGUAUGGUGCGUACUCAUUAGUUACUCAGAUUAACUGUGGAUAGUCAGUAGAGUGAAUGGGAUGGCUGAAAAGUAUAGUAGAGAGAACCUAAUGGGUAUGUGUGUGUGUGUGUGUGUGUGUGUGUAGAAACACACUGAACAACCCUAAGGCCUAACUGAGCAAUACACAAACCAAAGCAAAACCAUUGUGUGCGGAGACUGAUAUUGAAAAUACGAAAUCAAGAGAGGACUUAGGAAUUUCUGUGACAGCUGCAUGACUUGGACAGUGAAGUUCUCCGAUCCCCUACUCUAGCAGGCUCCCCCCUGUGUUGUGUGGGAGAGAGAAGAGUGGAGAGCUGCUGGGCUCUGCAGACUCCUUGCUCGUGCAUUCUUGGGGGAGAAGUUGCAAGUCCUUUCCUGGUGGUUCCCCAGACCCCCGUGUCCCACCUUGCCCUUUCCUGAUUCUGCAGGUCCAGGGUAAUGUGAGGAGCAGCACUUCCGCUGAAGUUUCUGCUGCUCCGUGGCAGCUCGGUUCAGCGGACCUGGCCCCAAUUCAAGAGCGCUGGCCUGGUUCCCUGCUGAGCUCUGCCUUGGCCUAAUGAGUUCCUUUGCAGGACUUGUCUCUUGUGUGUUAUCUUGCCUGUUUUCUUUCAGUGUUUCUGCAGUAAAGCUUCUAAUCUGUCAUCCUACCUGGAAGUCUCAAAUACUUGUAUGUGAGUGUAUAGUAUAUGUGUGUACAUGUAUUAUAUGUGUACAUACAAGUACAUACAACUGAGUGCAGGUUUACGAGUACCUUAAAUGCAAGUACAACAAGGUCAGCCUGGGGUGUCAGACCUUGCCUUCUGCAGUACUUGAGAUAGGUUCAGUUCGCCACUACGUAUGUGUGAGCUCCUGGGAAUGCUGUGUGUUGCUGUCUCACCGAAGAGCAUGGGAUUACAGAUAUGCACUACUAUUCCCAGCUUUACAUAGACUCUAGAGACUUGAACUCGUGUCUUCACAUGUGCAUGGUAAGUCCUUUACCCACUAAACCAUCUUCCCAACCCAAAGUUUUUAAUCUCGACCUUCUCCUGUUACAUUCCUGUUUUUCCCUUCCUGUAAGAACAGAGUGGGCAGAUAACUAAGGGUGAACAAGGGGCAACUUUUAUUUGCCACGCAGGAAUGACUGUUGUUCAAAUGGGAAAGCAGAAAGCCAAACAUGAAGGUAGACCCCGAGACCCGCAGCAGCAGCAGCAGCAGGAUGCCUGCGGUUGCCCAUGCUACAUUCUCAAGAUGCCACCAGGAGAGUGCCAGCAUGCAUCACAGCUCUAAAGUCUUAGAGAAUGUCAAGAUAUCAAGUGGGAGCAGUCCCGAGCAAAGCAAUCUGGAAAUAGCAGGUCACCAGGAAGCACAGCACGAAUUCUCCUGUCUCUCUCCAGGCUCAAAGGCUGAAGGAAGUGUUCCUUGCUUACAGCUGAAGCAGCCGCAGCUGGCCUUGACGGCCAGGGCAAGAACCCUGGAUUCUGAAGCAGAAACAGUGUCUUGGAAUAGAAGAAGCGGAAGCUGCACAUACCAGAAGGGAAGAGGGAGAAGAAGAGGCCAGACUUAAAGCUGUCUCCAUCCAAGCAUCAGAAAAUGGAGUAGCCCUAGUGUAUGCCAAGUCGACAAUAAAGACCAACCAGUGCAGAAGAGAUGAGCAGACUGUGAGUGGGAAGAACGUCACACUUGAACCCAACCGUGUAGAUGCCCUGAACUACACUGAUCUGCUGUUGUUGUUGGAACGCUGUGUCUAUCUUCUGGAGCAGUGGGGUCACGAGAGCAGUGUUGAAUGAGCAGACUGCUGUGCCGAUGAAGAGUUCACCUGUGGGAAAUACCUGUUCCUCCAGUGUAAAUUAGUUAGUCAGCCCUCUACAACACUUCAGUCUGAAGUGCUCAGACUGCUAAGCCUCCAGAACCACAAGGAACCACUUUCUGGUCUUUAUAAACUACAGAAGUGUUUGUGACACUUUGCUACAGCAUUCCUAAUAGGCUAAGAUAUAAUCUAAAUAUACUAAAAAGAAAACAGCAUUAAAGAAACUGGAUUUUUAAAAGACAACCCUCUAUGCUGUUUAUAAUAAAUCCACUUUAAAUAUGAUGUGGAUGUUAUCAUUUCUGUCUCUGAAUUGUCCUGAUAUCUGUCUUAUGUAAUAUAAAUAAAGCAAUUGAAUCUUUAA